Molecule: long non-coding RNA, 1652 nt
Organism: Bos taurus (domestic cattle)
Lineage: Eukaryota; Metazoa; Chordata; Mammalia; Artiodactyla; Bovidae
Source: Ensembl
GUAUGUAUUAACGCCAGUCCUGCGCUUAAUGGGCGAGGGGGCAGGACGACCCUUCCUCUGAACCUGAGGACGUUCUUCCGAACCCCCUCGCCCGUCGCCUCCUCCCCCUCCCCCCAGGCGCCGCCGCCGCCUCUCCCAGGGAGGAAGUGGUGAGGAUGCGGGGGAGGGCCCCCCAUUCUCACUUCCCCUGGGGCAGGGCGGGGCCUGCAGGGUUCCCUCCCCCUUAGCAGGAAUCGAGGCCCCCCCACCCCCGCACACACACAGGGGUGGGGCCCAAAGGAGGCUGCCCGAGCUGGGACUGGGCCGGGGUUGCACGCCCGCCAACCCCCCACCCCACCCCGGUAACACAAGUUCUCUAGGCUUUGACGGUUCUCAUCUUAAAUGUGGGGGUGUGAACACAGAGUAAACACUCAGCCAACAGUCCAGGAGCUGAUGAAGGAUAAACACAAUGUAUCCAGUCAUAUGGUGUAUUAUUCAGCCAAAGAGAAGAAUGAAGCACCGAUACACACUGCAACACGUAUGAACCUUAAAAAUCUUAUGCUGAGUGAAAGAAGCCAGAUGCGAAAGGCCCCAUAGGAUGUGAUUCCGUUUAUGUGAAAUGUCCAAAACAGGUCUUAGAUGUGGCAUGCAGGAUCUUUGGUUGAAGCAAGUGGGAUCUAGUCCCUCCUGACCAGGGAUGGAACCCUGGCCCCCUGCACUGCGAGCACAGAGUCUCAGUCACUGGACCACCGGGGAAGUCCCUGAAUUGCUCACUUUAAAAAGGAAAACUGCUGAGUAAUGAAGAUCUCCCUGAUCCAUGUUGCUGCGUCCUGGCCUCCCUCUCCAGGAAUCGAGACUUCUAAGGGUUGUGGAAAAGGCUUCGCCCUUCCAGAGAGUUCUGGGGAACCUUGUGGAGUCUCUCCAUGGCAACAAGGAGGAAGCAAGGCCACCUCACCACACUUGACAGGGAUGUGGGCACUUGGGGACCUCCCACAGACCUGCUGGCCGGGGAGGCAUAACCUGCUGGAGGGGUGUAGCGUGGAGGGACGGGCCUGGGGGUGCUUAUAGGGAUGGUUUUCCAAGGAACAGAGACGGGAACGAGGGAGGGGAGAUGCAUGCCUGUAUUCCCCAAGUAUUUUUAGGCACUGAACGCGGCCCUGAAAUAUUCCACGGCCACUCCCAAGAGUGAGCUGGGUGACUAUUUUGGUGCCUGGUUCCAGCGGGGGCGGAAUGGGGGUGAGUCAUCCCUGGGUGGCUGGGCCCAGACCAGGAGGGGGGGUCUCAGGGCAGGACCCAGGGCCUGUAAGGUGACAGCUUAGGAACCUGGGGCCAGGCAUCUGGUGUCGGCCUCCGGGGCACAGAGGACAGUGGCCUGGCCCCUCCCUGUGGCAUGGCACCGCUGCUCAGGUCCCCCCGGCCAGUCAGUCACGCUGCCCCCACAGCUAAUGGAGAGAAAGAGGGUCCUAGGUGAGGUUUCAGACACUCCCCAGGUGCCCAGUGAGGCGCUUCUCCUGUGUUUUCAAGCAGGAAUGAGGGACUUCCCCAGAGGUCCAGCAGUUAAGACUCCGCGCUUCCACUGCAGGGGGCACGAGUUCAAUUCCUAGUAUAAAAAAAAAUAAUUUUUUUUUUAAAGCAAAUAUGGAGCACGGCUGUGUGUCUGAGGCACAGUGGGG